This is a non-coding RNA of Acanthosepion pharaonis, 95 nucleotides long. Lineage: Eukaryota; Metazoa; Mollusca; Cephalopoda; Sepiida; Sepiidae. The record is from the annotation of a GenBank genome assembly.
AAUCACCGGUUCCCGUACGAUCACAGAAGUUAAGCAACGUCGAGCCUGGUCAGUACCUAGUUGGGUAACCGCUUGGGAAUACUAGAUGCUGUAAG